GAUGAACGCUGGCGGCGUGCUUAACACAUGCAAGUCGAGCGGACAGACGAGGCUCUUGUGGCUCGGACGUUUGGCGCGGACGUGUGAAUAACAUGAGUAUAACCCACUUAACAGUCUGGGAUCAUCUCGGAAAUCCGGAUCAUACACCGUAUAAUAUAUUGCACCAUGGUGGGCAUUGGAAAAAUUCGGCGGUUGUGGAUCGACUCGAGGCGCAUUAGCUUGAUUGUAAGGUAGUGGCUUAACAAGGCUACGAUGGGUAGCCGACCUGGGAGAGUGAUCGGCCACACUGGAACUGAGACACGGUCCAGACUCCUACGGGAGGCAGCAGUAGGGAAUCUUCCGCAAUGGGCGAAAGCCUGGCGGAGCAACGCCGCGUGAGUGAUGAAGGUCUUCGGAUCGUAAAACUCUGUUAUUAGGGAAGAACAAAUGUGUAAGUAACUAUGCACGUCUUGACGGUACCUAAUCAGAAAGCCACGGCUAACUACGUG
Molecule: ribosomal RNA, 488 nt
Filed under: uncultured bacterium
Lineage: Bacteria
Description: partial 16S ribosomal RNA
Rfam family: Bacterial small subunit ribosomal RNA
Source: RNAcentral